AUAUCUAUAAUGCCGAAUCCUUGUAGGUACGGGGGAACCGAUAGAAAUAUAGGGGUGAAUCCAGAUUUUUUUGGAGGGGUUAUUCUCUAAUCUUCUCUUUUACCCUAACCCGACAGCUAACCUCGGAGGCUGAGAUGCCACAAUCC
RNAcentral lists this small RNA (146 nucleotides) under Propionispora sp. 2/2-37. Its description in RNAcentral is "c-di-AMP riboswitch aptamer (ydaO/yuaA leader)". It matches the Rfam family "c-di-AMP riboswitch aptamer (ydaO/yuaA leader)". From Rfam's summary of the family: This family represents a conserved RNA structure found upstream of the ydaO and yuaA genes in Bacillus subtilis and related genes in other bacteria. RNAcentral also lists the same sequence under 1 other name. Lineage: Bacteria; Bacillati; Bacillota; Negativicutes; Selenomonadales; Sporomusaceae. The record is from Rfam by way of RNAcentral.